Molecule: transfer RNA, 83 nt
Filed under: Candidatus Altarchaeales archaeon HGW-Altarchaeales-3
Lineage: Archaea; Nanobdellati; Candidatus Altarchaeota; Candidatus Altarchaeia; Candidatus Altarchaeales
Description: Candidatus Altiarchaeales archaeon HGW-Altiarchaeales-3 tRNA-Leu
Rfam family: tRNA
About the family: Transfer RNA (tRNA) molecules are approximately 80 nucleotides in length.
Source: RNAcentral
GCGGGGGUUCCCAAGUGGUCAAAGGGGCAAGGCUUAGGACCUUGUGGCUUAAGCCUCCGCGAGUUCGAAUCUCGUCCCCCGCA